UUAGUGGCUACGAGGACGAACGCUGGCGGCGUGCUUAACACAUGCAAGUCGAACGGGACUGAUUGAAAGCUUGCUUUGAAAAGUCUAGUGGCAAACGGGUGAGUAACGCGUAGGCAACCUGCCUCUAAGAUGGGGACAACAGUCCGAAAGGACUGCUAAUACCGAAUGUUGUGAGUUUUUCCGCAUGGAAGAUUCAUUAAAGAUGGCCUCUAUUUAUAAGCUAUCACUUAGAGAUGGGCCUGCGUCUGAUUAGCUAGUUGGUGGGUAACGGCCCACCAAGGCGACGAUCAGUAGCCGGUCUGAGAGGAUGAACGGCCACAUUGGGACUGAGACACGGCCCAGACUCCUACGGGAGGCAGCAGUGGGGAAUCUUCCGCAAUGGGCGAAAGCCUGACGGAGCAACGCCGCCGUGAGUGAAGAAGGUCUUCGGAUCGUAAAGCUCUGUCGAAGGGGACGAACGUGGGUUCUAUCAACAACGGAACCUAAUGACGGUACCUUUCAAGAAAGCCACGGCUAACUACGUGCCAGCCGCCGC
RNAcentral lists this ribosomal RNA (535 nucleotides) under uncultured bacterium. RNAcentral describes it as "bacterial SSU rRNA". It matches the Rfam family "Bacterial small subunit ribosomal RNA", at positions 1 to 518 of the family's 1533-position model. The record is from RNAcentral.